Molecule: transfer RNA, 88 nt
Filed under: Fusarium lateritium
Lineage: Eukaryota; Fungi; Ascomycota; Sordariomycetes; Hypocreales; Nectriaceae
Also listed under: 1 other name
Description: tRNA-Tyr
Rfam family: tRNA
About the family: Transfer RNA (tRNA) molecules are approximately 80 nucleotides in length. Their secondary structure includes four short double-helical elements and three loops (D, anti-codon, and T loops).
Source: RNAcentral
CUCCGCAUGGUGUAGUUGGUUUAUCACGUUCGGCUGUAACUGAAUAAUUGCCACCGAAAGGUCCCUAGUUCGAUUCUGGGUGGGGAGA